UACGCUUAAGUAUAUGUUGUACAGGAAUUUUUGGUAUUCCAAGGGACGGUUGAAUUCCGUCAAGUGUAA
Molecule: transfer RNA, 69 nt
Filed under: Labidostomis lucida
Lineage: Eukaryota; Metazoa; Arthropoda; Insecta; Coleoptera; Chrysomelidae
Description: tRNA-Gln
Source: RNAcentral